This 116-nucleotide non-coding RNA is filed under the name unclassified sequences. The record is from Rfam.
AUCAUGAUACUUCCGUCCAGUCCUAAAGCCGAGCGUGAAGCGGCAUAUCCGCCGCAAGCCGUCGCAGCAAAGGAGGGCGGCCCGGUGAGAACCACGGGGUGGUGAAAUUCCAAUGA